CCCGUAACUUCGGGAGAAGGGGGGCCUGAUCCCUGAAGCCCCGUUUGCGGGCUAGGGGGGAGGGUCGCAGAGGCCAGGGGGAAGCGACUGUUUACUAAAAACACAGGUCCGUGCGAAGCCGUAAGGCGAUGUAUACGGACUGACGCCUGCCCGGUGCUGGAAGGUUAAGAGGAACCAUCAACCCCCUCGGGGGUGAAGUGGUGAAUUUAAGCCCCAGUAAACGGCGGUGGUAACUAUAACCAUCCUAAGGUAGCGAAAUUCCUUGUCGGGUAAGUUCCGACCUGCACGAAUGGCGUAACGACUUCCCCGCUGUCUCAACCAUGAGCUCGGCGAAAUUGCAGUACGAGUAAAGAUGCUCGUUUCGCGCAGAAGGACGGAAAGACCCCGGGACCUUUACUACAGCUUGGUAUUGGCGCCCGCUAUAGCUUGUGCAGGAUAGGUGGGAGACUGUGAAGCCGUUACGCCAGUGGCGGUGGAGUCGUCCUUGAAAUACCACUCUGGUUAUGGCGUGCGCCUGAACCUGGGCCCGUGAUCCGGGUUAGGGACAGUGCCUGGUGGGUAGUUUAACUGGGGCGGUUGCCUCCUAAAGUGUAACGGAGGCGCUCAAAGGUUCCCUCAGCCUGGUCGGCAACCAGGUGUUGAGUGCAAGUGCACAAGGGAGCUUGACUGUGAGACCGACGGGUCGAGCAGGUACGAAAGUAGGAACUAGUGAUCCGGCGAUCCCGUGUGGGUGGGUCGUCGCUCAACGGAUAAAAGGUACCCCGGGGAUAACAGGCUGAUCCUGCCCAAGAGUCCAUAUCGACGGCAUGGUUUGGCACCUCGAUGUCGGCUCGUCGCAUCCUGGGGCUGGAGCAGGUCCCAAGGGUUGGGCUGUUCGCCCAUUAAAGCGGUACGCGAGCUGGGUUUAGAACGUCGUGAGACAGUUCGGUCCCUAUCCUCUGCGCGCGCAGGAGACUUGAGAAGGCCUGUCCCUAGUACGAGAGGACCGGGACGGACGAACCUCUGGUGUGCCAGUUGUCCCGCCCGGGGCACGGCUGGUUGGCUACGUUCGGGAAGGGUAACCGCUGAAAGCAUCUAAGCGGGAAACCAUCUUCAAGAUAAGGUCUCCACAAGAAGGACUUGUCCUUUUUGGUAGGCCCCCAGCAGACUACUGGGUUGAUAGGCCAGGAGUGGAAGACCGGUAACGGUCUGUGAGCUGACUGGUACUAAUAGGCCGACACAAACAACAA
RNAcentral lists this ribosomal RNA (1229 nucleotides) under human metagenome. RNAcentral's name for it is "bacterial LSU rRNA". It matches the Rfam family "Bacterial large subunit ribosomal RNA", at positions 1727 to 2925 of the family's 2925-position model. The record is from RNAcentral.